This 300-nucleotide ribosomal RNA is filed under the name uncultured bacterium. RNAcentral's name for it is "bacterial SSU rRNA". It matches the Rfam family "Bacterial small subunit ribosomal RNA", at positions 338 to 630 of the family's 1533-position model. The record is from RNAcentral.
CCUACGGGACGCAGCAGUAGGGAAUCUUCCACAAUGGGCGAAAGCCUGAUGGAGCAACGCCGCGUGGGUGAAGAAGGUCUUCGGAUCGUAAAACCCUGUUGUUAGAGAAGAAAGUGCGUGAGAGUAACUGUUCACGUUUCGACGGUAUCUAACCAGAAAGCCACGGCUAACUACGUGCCAGCAGCCGCGGUAAUACGUAGGUGGCAAGUGUUAUCCGGAUUUACUGGGUGUAAAGGGAGCGUAGGCGGCCUGGCAAGCCUGAUGUGAAAUACCGGGGCCCAACCCCGGGGCUGCAUUGGG